This 183-nucleotide ribosomal RNA is filed under the name uncultured bacterium. Its description in RNAcentral is "partial 16S ribosomal RNA". It matches the Rfam family "Bacterial small subunit ribosomal RNA", at positions 338 to 524 of the family's 1533-position model. The record is from RNAcentral.
CCUACGGGAGGCAGCAGUAAGGAAUACUGCGCAAUGGGCUACAGCCUAANGCAGCGACGCCGCAUGGGGGAUGAAGGUCUUCGGAUUGUAAACCCCUUUCGGCAGGGAAGAUGGAACGGGUAACCGUUCUGACGGUACCGCAGAAGAAGCCACGGCUAACUUCGUGCCAGCAGCCGCGGUAAU